UCCACCGUGAGGUGGAAUCCGAAGGAAGCCGGAGGCAAAGCCACGGCCCGAUGGACAAGAACCCCAUACGAGGCUAGACCGCUCGGAUGAGCUGGCUAGACACAGCGAAAUCCAAGGCUGCCAAGGGGCGGUAGAGUAUAUGGGGCGGGCGCGGGGUGAAAGUUAACGCU
Fervidicola ferrireducens is the source of this 170-nucleotide non-coding RNA. The record is from Rfam. Lineage: Bacteria; Bacillati; Bacillota; Clostridia; Thermosediminibacterales; Thermosediminibacteraceae.